CACGGAGGGGGCUAGCGUUGUUCGGAAUGACUGGGCGUAAAGCGCGCGUAGGCGGCUUUUUAAGUCAGGGGUGAAAUCCCGGGGCUCAACCCCGGAACUGCCCUUGAAACUGGAUGGCUAGAAUACUGGAGAGGUGAGUGGAAUUCCGAGUGUAGAGGUGAAAUUCGUAGAUAUUCGGAAGAACACCAGUGGCGAAGGCGACUCACUGGACAGUUAUUGACGCUGAGGUGCGAAAGCGUGGGGAGCAAACAGG
Molecule: ribosomal RNA, 253 nt
Filed under: uncultured bacterium
Lineage: Bacteria
Description: partial 16S ribosomal RNA
Rfam family: Bacterial small subunit ribosomal RNA
Source: RNAcentral